Molecule: ribosomal RNA, 1410 nt
Filed under: Bacillus safensis
Lineage: Bacteria; Bacillati; Bacillota; Bacilli; Caryophanales; Bacillaceae
Description: bacterial SSU rRNA
Rfam family: Bacterial small subunit ribosomal RNA
Source: RNAcentral
GAAGGGAGCUUGCUCCCGGAUGUUAGCGGCGGACGGGUGAGUAACACGUGGGUAACCUGCCUGUAAGACUGGGAUAACUCCGGGAAACCGGAGCUAAUACCGGAUAGUUCCUUGAACCGCAUGGUUCAAGGAUGAAAGACGGUUUCGGCUGUCACUUACAGAUGGACCCGCGGCGCAUUAGCUAGUUGGUGGGGUAAUGGCUCACCAAGGCGACGAUGCGUAGCCGACCUGAGAGGGUGAUCGGCCACACUGGGACUGAGACACGGCCCAGACUCCUACGGGAGGCAGCAGUAGGGAAUCUUCCGCAAUGGACGAAAGUCUGACGGAGCAACGCCGCGUGAGUGAUGAAGGUUUUCGGAUCGUAAAGCUCUGUUGUUAGGGAAGAACAAGUGCGAGAGUAACUGCUCGCACCUUGACGGUACCUAACCAGAAAGCCACGGCUAACUACGUGCCAGCAGCCGCGGUAAUACGUAGGUGGCAAGCGUUGUCCGGAAUUAUUGGGCGUAAAGGGCUCGCAGGCGGUUUCUUAAGUCUGAUGUGAAAGCCCCCGGCUCAACCGGGGAGGGUCAUUGGAAACUGGGAAACUUGAGUGCAGAAGAGGAGAGUGGAAUUCCACGUGUAGCGGUGAAAUGCGUAGAGAUGUGGAGGAACACCAGUGGCGAAGGCGACUCUCUGGUCUGUAACUGACGCUGAGGAGCGAAAGCGUGGGGAGCGAACAGGAUUAGAUACCCUGGUAGUCCACGCCGUAAACGAUGAGUGCUAAGUGUUAGGGGGUUUCCGCCCCUUAGUGCUGCAGCUAACGCAUUAAGCACUCCGCCUNGGGGAGUACNGGUCGCAAGACUGAAACUCAAAGGAAUUGACGGGGGNCCCGCACAAGCGGUGGAGCAUGUGGUUUAANUUCGAAGCAACGCGAAGAACCUUACCAGGUCUUGACAUCCUCUGACAACCCUAGAGAUAGGGCNUUUCCCUUCGGGGACAGAGUGACAGGUGGUGCAUGGUUGUCGUCAGCUCGUGUCGUGAGAUGUUGGGUUAAGUCCCGCAACGAGCGCAACCCUUGAUCUUAGUUGCCAGCAUUCAGUUGGGCACUCUAAGGUGACUGCCGGUGACAAACCGGAGGAAGGUGGGGAUGACGUCAAAUCAUCAUGCCCCUUAUGACCUGGGCUACACACGUGCUACAAUGGACAGAACAAAGGGCUGCAAGACCGCAAGGUUUAGCCAAUCCCAUAAAUCUGUUCUCAGUUCGGAUCGCAGUCUGCAACUCGACUGCGUGAAGCCGGAAUCGCUAGUAAUCGCGGAUCAGCAUGCCGCGGUGAAUACGUUCCCGGGCCUUGUACACACCGCCCGUCACACCACGAGAGUUUGCAACACCCGAAGUCGGUGAGGUAACCUUUAUGGAGCCAGCCGCCGAAG